RNAcentral lists this transfer-messenger RNA (374 nucleotides) under Asanoa iriomotensis. It matches the Rfam family "transfer-messenger RNA". From Rfam's summary of the family: Bacterial tmRNA, also known as 10Sa RNA or SsrA, is named for its dual tRNA and mRNA-like properties. Lineage: Bacteria; Bacillati; Actinomycetota; Actinomycetes; Micromonosporales; Micromonosporaceae. The record is from RNAcentral.
GGGGGUGACUGGUUUCGACUUCGUCCGUUGCGACAGGGGAAGCGAGCCGAGGAAGCCAACGUCGUCUCGAAAAUCGGUCGUUGGAAACCAAUAAGCGCCAAGCAGAAUCGCGCUCAGUUCGCCCUCGCCGCCUGAGGCGGGUAGCGAACUUGUCGGCCUGGGAACGCCUUCGUCCCAGCUAGCCGGCAUCAGCUAGAAGGCUGGCCAACCGGCCCCGGUCGCGGGGGCCGCGCGGCGAGAUAAAUCAGCGACUGGGCCCGUCUCACCGACUCGCUCGUGUGAUCGGUGGGGCCGAGUAAGGACACAGCGAGCUGCGCUCGGAGAAGCCCUGACAAGACGCCGAAGGACCCGGGUUCGAUUCCCGGCACCUCCAC